This 205-nucleotide ribosomal RNA is filed under the name uncultured bacterium. RNAcentral describes it as "partial 16S ribosomal RNA". It matches the Rfam family "Bacterial small subunit ribosomal RNA", at positions 130 to 334 of the family's 1533-position model. The record is from RNAcentral.
CGCUCUCUUUGGCCAGCCUUCUGAAAGGAAGAUUAAUCCAGGAUGGCAUCAUGAGUUCACAUGUCCGCAUGAUUAAAGGUAUUUUCCGGUAGACGAUGGGGAUGCGUUCCAUUAGAUAGUAGGCGGGGUAACGGCCCACCUAGUCAACGAUGGAUAGGGGUUCUGAGAGGGAGGUCCCCCACAUUGGAACUGAGACACGGUCCAA